UACAGAGGGGGCAAGCGUUGUUCGGAAUUACUGGGCGUAAAGGGCGCGUAGGCGGCUUUGCAAGUGACGGGUGAAAUCCCUCGGCUUAACCGAGGAACUGCCUGUCAAACUGCAUGGCUUGAGACCGGGAGAGGUGAGUGGAAUUCCCAGUGUAGCGGUGAAAUGCGCAGAUAUCGGGAGGAACACCGGCGGCGAAGGCGGCACUCUGGGCUGGUACUGACGCUGAGGAGCGAAAGCGUGGGGAGCAAACAGG
RNAcentral lists this ribosomal RNA (253 nucleotides) under uncultured bacterium. RNAcentral's name for it is "partial 16S ribosomal RNA". It matches the Rfam family "Bacterial small subunit ribosomal RNA", at positions 524 to 776 of the family's 1533-position model. The record is from RNAcentral.